UAGGGAAUAUUGGUCAAUGGACGGAAGUCUGAACCAGCCAUGCCGCGUGCAGGAAGAAGGCGCUCAGCGUUGUAAACUGCUUUUGAGAGGGAAGAAAGUGCAGGAUGCGUCCUGUUUUGCCGGUACCUUUCGAAUAAGCACCGGCUAACUCCGUGCCAGCAGCCGCGGUAAUACGGAGGGUGCAAGCGUUGUCCGGAUUUAUUGGGUUUAAAGGGUGCGUAGGUGGUUCAGUAAGUCUGGUUUGAAAGUCAGCCGCUUAACGGUUGAGGGUGGCUGGAUACUGCUGAACUUGAAUUUUCCGGAGGCAGGCGGAACGGGUUGUGUAGCGGUGAAAUGCAUAGAUAUGACCCAGAACACCGAUUGCGAAGGCAGCCUGCUACGGAUGGAUUGACACUGAGGC
This 400-nucleotide ribosomal RNA is filed under the name uncultured bacterium. RNAcentral describes it as "bacterial SSU rRNA". It matches the Rfam family "Bacterial small subunit ribosomal RNA", at positions 355 to 752 of the family's 1533-position model. The record is from RNAcentral.